ACGAACGCUGGCGGCUGCUUAACACAUGCAAGUCGAACGGAGUGGCGAACGGGUGAGUAACGCGUGAGCAACCUGCCUAUGACAGUGGGAUAGCCUCGGGAAACCGGGAUUAAUACCGCAUAGUCAUAGAUGGGCUCGGGUAUGAUUAGCUAGUUGGGGAGCAAACAGCUCACCAAGGCGACGAUCAGUAGCAGGUCUGUGAGGAUGAGCUGCGACAGUGGGACUGUGUCACGGUCCAAACCACUACGGGAGGCAGCAGUGGGGAAUAUUGCACAAUGGGGCAAUCACUGAUGAAGCGACGCCGCGUGAACGAAGAAGGUAUUCGUAUCGUAAAGUUCUGUCCUAUGGGAAGCAGUACCAUAGAAGAAAGCUCCGGCUAAAUACGUGCCAGCAGCCGCGGGAAUUC
RNAcentral lists this ribosomal RNA (406 nucleotides) under uncultured bacterium. Its description in RNAcentral is "partial 16S ribosomal RNA". It matches the Rfam family "Bacterial small subunit ribosomal RNA", at positions 29 to 526 of the family's 1533-position model. The record is from RNAcentral.